ACUCUGUCUGUGUCUUUGGAAAAAGUCUCGUAUGUAUACUUCAUAAAGAGAUUGAUUUUUUCAUGUCGUGAAUAUAAUAUAUUAAUGUGAAACAGAUAAGGUGGAGCUCCACCCAUAAGUUUCAUGAAGGCACUUGAGGGAACAUCAAAGCCAAAAACUUUUUAUUGAUGGGUGAGUUGCAUCAAGUCAGUAAGCAAAGGUCCUUUGAUCCACAGAAUACAAUGGCUGGAUGGCAGUGGGAAGUUAAAAGUUAGCUAUAGCUAGCUAGGAGGCUAAGUGGCACGAGGAACAAGUUGGUUGGCACGGCUGGCGGUGGCCCGGUGACUUAAGGGGUUCCUUCUUUUGAAUUACCAUGGGACAAGACACACAGACACACACACCCUGCUUUAACUUGGUACGAAUUAAAUGCCAAGGAAAAUGCUCUGCCUAUUUUGCCAUUACAUUGAAAAGAUGCUCUUACUUUUCUAACCAAUAAUGAUUUUCUUUGACAGAUUUUCACAAUGUAGUGGACUUGUUCUUCCCCCAUCUCCUUCAUUAUCUAUAUAAAAUAAAUAUACUUACAUAACCAAAUACUUGCCCAAAGUUAAUAUUACCAUUUACCCAUUAUUUGAUGUUAUUAACUCAAGAAACUUUACAUCGGACAGAGAAAA
RNAcentral lists this long non-coding RNA (650 nucleotides) under Gossypium barbadense (sea-island cotton). RNAcentral's name for it is "long non-coding RNA (GBAR_LNC020761)". The record is from RNAcentral. Lineage: Eukaryota; Viridiplantae; Streptophyta; Magnoliopsida; Malvales; Malvaceae.